AGAGCGAACGCUGGCGGCAGGCCUAAUACAUGCAAGUCGAGCGGCCCUUCGGGGCAGCGGCGGACGGGUGAGUAACGCGUGGGAAUGUGCCCUUUGGUACGGAACAACUGAGGGAAACUUCAGCUAAUACCGUAUGUGCCCGUUCGGGGGGAAAGAUUUAUUGCCAUUGGAGCAGCCCGCGUUGGAUUAGCUAGUUGGUGGGGUAAGGCCCACAAGGCGACGAUCCAUAGCUGGUCUGAGAGGAUGAUCAGCCACACGUGGGACUGAGACCACGGCCCAGACCUCCGUACGGGAGCAGCGAGGUAGGGAAUUCGUGCG
Molecule: ribosomal RNA, 318 nt
Filed under: uncultured soil bacterium
Lineage: Bacteria
Description: bacterial SSU rRNA
Rfam family: Bacterial small subunit ribosomal RNA
Source: RNAcentral